GCCUGGCUCACACGUGCUACAAUGGAUGGUACAACGAGUUGCGAGACCGCGAGGUCAAGCUAAUCUCUUAAAGCCAUUCUCAGUUNGGACUGUAGGCUGCAACUCGCCUACACGAAGUCGGAAUCGCUAGUAAUCGCGGAUCAGCACGCCGCGGUGAAUACGUUCCCGGGCCUUGUACACACCGCCCGUCACACCAUGAGAGUUUGUAACACCCGAAGCCGGUGGCGUAACCCUUUUAGGGAGCGAGCCGUCUAAGGUGGGACAAAUGAUUAGGGUGAAGUCGUNACAAGGUAGCCGUAGGAGAACCUGCGGNUGGAUCACCUCCUA
Molecule: ribosomal RNA, 327 nt
Filed under: Lacticaseibacillus zeae
Lineage: Bacteria; Bacillati; Bacillota; Bacilli; Lactobacillales; Lactobacillaceae
Description: bacterial SSU rRNA
Rfam family: Bacterial small subunit ribosomal RNA
Source: RNAcentral